GACGAACGCUGGCGGCGUGCCUAAUACAUGCAAGUCGAACGCUUCCUACCGGUGCUUGCACCGGGAAAGAAGAGUGGCGGACGGGUGAGUAACACGUGGGUAACCUACCUACAAGCGGGGGAUAACAUUCGGAAACGGAUGCUAAUACCGCAUAGAUCUUUUUGUCUCCUGGCAGAAAGAAGAAAGACGGUUUCGGCUGUCACUUGUAGAUGGACCCGCGGCGCAUUAGUUAGUUGGUGAGGUAAUGGCUCACCAAGACGAUGAUGCGUAGCCGACCUGAGAGAGUGAUCGGCCACACUGGGACUGAGACACGGCCCAGACUCCUACGGAGGGCAGCAGUAGGGAAUCUUCCGCAAUGGACGAAAGUCUGACGGAGCAACGCCGCGUGAGUGAAGAAGGUUUUCGGAUCGUAAAACUCUGUUGUUAGAGAAGAACAAGGAUGAGGGUAACUGCUCGUCCCUUGACGGUAUCUAACCAGAAAGCCAUGGCUAACUACGUGCCAGCCGCCGCAGUAA
Molecule: ribosomal RNA, 515 nt
Filed under: uncultured bacterium
Lineage: Bacteria
Description: partial 16S ribosomal RNA
Rfam family: Bacterial small subunit ribosomal RNA
Source: RNAcentral